GGAUCCAGACUUUGAUUAUGGCUCAUGAUGAACGCUAGCGGCAGGCUUAACACAUGCAAGUCGAGGGGCAGCGUGGAGUAGCAAUACUCUGACGGCGACCGGCGGAAGGGUGCGUAACACGUGAGCGACUUGCCCGAUACAGGGAGAUAACCGGUGGAAACGCCGACUAAUAUCCCAUACGACUUGAGGCUGCAUGGCCUUGAGUUGAAAGGUUCGCCGGUAUCGGAUAGGCUCGCGGGACAUUAGCUUGAUGGCGGGGCAACGGCCCACCAUGGCGACGAUGUCUAGGGGUUCUGAGAGGAAGACCCCCCACACUGGGACUGAGACACGGCCCAGACUCCUACGGGAGGCAGCAGUGAGGAAUAUUGGUCAAUGGGCGGAAGCCUGAACCAGCCAUGCCGCGUGAAGGACUAAGGCCCUAUGGGUCGUAAACUUCUUUAGACGCAGAGCAAUAAGGGCCUCGUGAGGUCCGAUGAGAGUAUGCGUAGAAUAAGCAUCGGCUAACUCCGUGCCAGCAGCCGCGGUAAUACGGGGGAUGCGAGCGUUAUCCGGAUUUAUUGGGUUUAAAGGGUGCGUAGGCGGCGAAUUAAGUCAGCGGUGAAAGACCGGGGCUCAACCCUGGAAGUGCCGUUGAUACUGAUUGGCUAGAAUACCCUUGCCGUGGGAGGAAUGAGUGGUGUAGCGGUGAAAUGCAUAGAUAUCACUCAGAACACCGAUUGCGAAGGCAUCUCACGAAGGGGCGAUUGACGCUGAGGCACGAAAGCGUGGGGAUCGAACAGGAUUAGAUACCCUGGUAGUCCACGCAGUAAACGAUGAUGGCUAACUGUCGGGCCUGAGGGUUCGGCGGCCAAGCGAAAGCGAUAAGCCAUCCACCUGGGGAGUACGACCGCAAGGUUGCAACUCAAAUGAAUUGACGG
This 917-nucleotide ribosomal RNA is filed under the name uncultured Bacillota bacterium. RNAcentral's name for it is "bacterial SSU rRNA". It matches the Rfam family "Bacterial small subunit ribosomal RNA", at positions 1 to 916 of the family's 1533-position model. Lineage: Bacteria; Bacillati; Bacillota. The record is from RNAcentral.